This is a long non-coding RNA of Oncorhynchus keta (chum salmon), 346 nucleotides long. RefSeq lists it as uncharacterized. The record is from RefSeq and is a predicted model, not a curated record. Lineage: Eukaryota; Metazoa; Chordata; Actinopteri; Salmoniformes; Salmonidae. The transcript is spliced from 2 exons.
GAUGAAAUUAACAUUGUGCACAGUUUUCAGCAAGUUGCAUCAUACAGAAAUACAUUUUUCCAUAAACAAGCUCUAAAUCAUGUUUGAUGCACUCUGGAUGUCCAAUUGUUGUUGUGCUGUUUAUUCGAGACAAUAUGAACAAGGUGGACAAUUUUCAGCAAGUUGCAUCAUACAGAAAUACAUUUUCCCAUAAACAAGCUCUAAAUCAUGUUUGAUGCACUCUGGAUGUCCAAUUGUUGUUGUGCUGUUUAUUCGAGACAAUAUGAACAAGGUGGACAAUUUUCAGCAAGUUGCAACAUUGAAAUGCAGAAAUAAGCACUUUUCCAUAAACAAGCUCUAAAUCAUG